UAAAAGCUACCCUGGGGAUAACAGGCUUAUCUCCCCCAAGAGUCCACAUCGACGGGGAGGUUUGGCCCCUCGAUGUCGGCUCAUCACAUCCUGGGGCUGUAGUAGGUCCCAAGGGUUGGGCUGUUCGCCCAUUAAAGUGGUCCGCGAGCUGGGUUCAGAACGUCGUGAGACAGUUCGGUCCCUAUCCGUCGCAGGCGUAGGAAAUUUGAGAAGACCUGUCCUUAGUACGAGAGGACCGGGA
This 241-nucleotide ribosomal RNA is filed under the name Clostridioides difficile. RNAcentral's name for it is "partial 23S ribosomal RNA". It matches the Rfam family "Bacterial large subunit ribosomal RNA", at positions 2457 to 2697 of the family's 2925-position model. The record is from RNAcentral. Lineage: Bacteria; Bacillati; Bacillota; Clostridia; Peptostreptococcales; Peptostreptococcaceae.